UAAAAAAAAAAAAAAACUCAUAGCAAAUUACAUAUGAGAAGUUCAAAAUUCUCUUCCAUGAUUUGGUUAGGACAACACCAUUGCCUUAGCUUCUCAAAACUGAUUCUACAAAUACUCCAAACAACAAUCACACAAAGCAAAAUGGGAAGUUCCUGGUGUGUGAAACUAAUCAUCCACCGCAGGCUGCACCACAUCCAGCGCCGCAUCCACCACCGCAUCCACCACCGUAAAGGGUUGCAUCAACUUCUGCAGACUUGUUCUCUUUAGGCACGCCUUCAGCACAAGAAAAGAUCAUGGCUGAAAGUAUGGCAAGAGUUAACAAACCCAACCACAACACUAACACUACACAACCGCUGCUGAUACCAUCGCUUCCUCCGCCCAAGGUGGUUGCCUCUUUCAAUAGCCUCACCAUUUUUGUGUUAGUGUGGGUGGGAAGUGAGCCCCAGCAGGCUCCAAGAGAGCUCUUAUAUAUAUAUAAAUUCACUGAAAGGUCAACGUGUUACACGAAUACACUUGCAUUAUUCUUAGCUUUAUGUGAUUCUCUUUUGUUGCUCUCGAAUUGGCAGGCAAUUCCAUCAGAACUUUGACAUAUGGUGAUAGUGGUGCCAAAGCCACCACUAUAAAAAAUUCAAAGUGCAUAACGAUUAUUUUUCCCCCCUGACCCAUCUAACCAUCGAAAAUACAAACCCCAGGCAAUCGUGAGACCCUCCAAAAGACCUUUCAACUCUGCAUUUAACAUCGACAGUACUCCCAGAGACCCAGCAAAAUCACCACACCAAUUCCUUGCACUGUCGAAAUAGGCCACCAUAGAAAGCCAAACCAGUUCCCCUCUUCCAGCUACGUACCAUCUACGUUUAAUUUGUAGUAGGAAGAAGGUGGCAUCCUCCAACUAACUAUUACUUCAGAUCUCUGCGCUUAGUUCACUAAAAUCAAAGGACUGCUAGAAUAAAUUUUC
This 955-nucleotide unclassified non-coding RNA is filed under the name Hevea brasiliensis (rubber tree). The record is from RNAcentral. Lineage: Eukaryota; Viridiplantae; Streptophyta; Magnoliopsida; Malpighiales; Euphorbiaceae.